RNAcentral lists this microRNA (19 nucleotides) under Corchorus capsularis. RNAcentral describes it as "sRNA CCACVL1_06133". Lineage: Eukaryota; Viridiplantae; Streptophyta; Magnoliopsida; Malvales; Malvaceae. The record is from RNAcentral.
GAAGGAAGAAAGGAAGGCA